RNAcentral lists this ribosomal RNA (821 nucleotides) under Microcyclospora malicola. Its description in RNAcentral is "eukaryotic LSU rRNA". It matches the Rfam family "Eukaryotic large subunit ribosomal RNA", at positions 76 to 931 of the family's 3401-position model. Lineage: Eukaryota; Fungi; Ascomycota; Dothideomycetes; Capnodiales. The record is from RNAcentral.
UGCCUCAGUAACGGCGAGUGAAGCGGCAACAGCUCAAAUUUGAAAUCUGGCGUCCGCCCGAGUUGUAAUUUGCAGAGGAUGCUUCGGGGCCGCGGCCGAUCUAAGUCCUUUGGAACAGGGCGUCAUAGAGGGUGAGAAUCCCGUAUGUGACCGGCUGGCACCCCACACGUAGCUCCUUCGACGAGUCGAGUUGUUUGGGAAUGCAGCUCUAAAUGGGAGGUAAAUUUCUUCUAAAGCUAAAUACCGGCCAGAGACCGAUAGCGCACAAGUAGAGUGAUCGAAAGAUGAAAAGCACUUUGGAAAGAGAGUCAAACAGCACGUGAAAUUGUUGAAAGGGAAGCGCAUGCAACCAGACUUGUCGGCGGUGUUCCCCCGGUCUUCUGACCGGGUCACUCGCCGCCGGCAGGCCAGCAUCGUUUGCGACCGCCGGAGAAAGGCGCGGGGAAUGUGGCUCCUCGGAGUGUUAUAGCCCCGCGCACAAUACGGUGCGUCGCGAGCGAGGUCCGCGCUUCGGCUAGGAUGCUGGCGUAAUGGUCGUAUGCGGCCCGUCUUGAAACACGGACCAAGGAGUCUACCAUCUAUGCGAGUGUUCGGGUGUCAAACCCCUACGCGCAAUGAAAGUGAACGGAGGUGGGAACGCAAGUGCACCAUCGACCGAUCCUGAUGUCUUCGGAUGGAUUUGAGUAAGAGCAUAGCUGGUGGGACCCGAAAGAUGGUGAUCUUUACUUGAAUAGGGUGAAGCCAGAGGAAACUCUGGUGGAGGCUCGCAGCGGUUCUGACGUGCAAAUCGAUCGUCAAAUUUGGGUAAAGGGGCGAAAGAC